This is a non-coding RNA of Erythranthe guttata (spotted monkey flower), 6622 nucleotides long. Lineage: Eukaryota; Viridiplantae; Streptophyta; Magnoliopsida; Lamiales; Phrymaceae. The record is from RefSeq and is a predicted model, not a curated record.
UUUGCAGGCUGGAGAACCAUCAGAGGCUUAUAAGAAUUUUCAGUUGAAGACUUAUGGGAUCAAAGCACAAGGACACGCGACACUGAGAAGGAAAAAGCCAAAAAAAUAACGCUCUUCCAGUUUGACCCUAUUAUUUUAUCUUUCAUCUUAUCACAUGCACACUUACUAUCUCGUGAAAAUCUAUUUUCAAAAUUUUAAAUUUCUAUGUUUAUGUAGUUGCCCAUGCAAAUGGUAAAUUUAAAAUGCUUUUGCAGGUUGGUGUAAUUUCUUAGGCUUGUUAGAAUUUUCAGUUGCAGACUUAUGGGAUCAAAAAACAGUAGACAUGCGGCACUGGAGAGGAAAAAACAAAAAGUACUAUGGUAUCCCAGUUUGCCCCUAUUAUUUCGUUUUUUCAUCUUAUAACACGGGCAUUUACAAUCUUGUGGAAAUGUGAAUAAAUGUUUUACCAAUAUAAUAUUGUAGAUGCCUUAGUGAGUGCGAAGAAUUGUCUCCGGGUAGAAUCUCACAUGCAGGAUCGUCAAUGUUGGAAGGUCUGUGAUCUCUCUUAUUUGUGUCUUUAAUCACUGUUUACCGCACUACUUAGAGGUUUUUCUUUAAUGUUGUAAGUAGAUGACGCUAUCAUUAAGACCAUUGCGACAACUCCAGAUCAAGAAUUAAAGGGAUCUAGGGAUUUGAUGCUUCGAGUUCGCCGGAGAGAUUCAUAUCAGUUUUGUAAUGAAUAUGCUGUUCAGAGGAAAAAUUGGACAAGUACAAGGAAGUCGCUGCACAAGAUUGACUGUGUAAGUACCCCAUGUACCCUAUGCAUGUUCUUGGAAAAAAAUGUCUUUUUGGGCAUCUUCGUGUGACAUUAGCUGGAAAGCAAAAAACUUAUGUUCAGACAUUAGCUUAUAAGGUGACAUUAGCUGGAUUUUUUUCUUUCUGUGUGUGUGCCCAUGUGCGUGAAUGUGUUUGUCUAUAUAUUCUAGUGGAGCUGUUCAGGUGACAUUAGCUGGAUUUUUCUGAUAAGCUCCUCUUUCUGUGUGUGCCCACUCUUUCUAUGUGUGUGUCCAUGUGCGUGGUUGUGUGUGUCUAUAUAUUCUGAUGGACCUGCUGUGAUGAUUGUUGAUAAUUUGUGGAUCUGAUAAUUUGGGCAUUUAGAAACCCUCCCUUAUCAUGAUGUGGCGAACCCGGAUGGGCUGCGAUUUUGGGGUAAUUUAUAUUUCCUCAAUCGCAUGCAACCGGUGAUUCUGCAACCAUGACGGGGUGGAAUGUUUCUUUGCCAACUUGAACGAUUGAGCAACCCUCUCCUUAUGUUAUGCGUUUUUGCUUCUCGUUUAUGUGAGGUUUUUUGAAAGAGAUCGACAUCAAUCCGAUUAAUCUCUUGAAACUUGAAUUGUCAGUUGAAAAAUAAUUUCUUGGAAUAUAAUUUCUUGCGACGUGUUUAUUAGAGAUUGGAUAUACCUCUUGAAGUCGAAUUUCUCUCCUCAUUAUUGGAUUUCUUAUUGACGUUAUUAUCCGCGUAUCUCAUUUUCUUGAGUUGCCUUGUUUGCUCGAUUUUUGGAUUGUAAGGAAGUGCCUCAUUCUUAUUGACGCUAUCAGAUUUCUUGAGAGCUUAUGGAUUCAGAUCACCAACUAUAUACUGUUGGAAACUCGGAUUUUCAGGAGCUCGGUCUUCUUUAUGUGAUUCGUAGAAGAUGGAUUUCUCAAAAGAACUCGUGUUUAUCUAAUGAGCUCGAUAUUUAUUGGAUUUCUUGGCCUGGUAUUUUUCGGACUUCUUGGACUUGUUGUAGUUGAUCAUAUUUUGGACUUCUUAUUGACGUUAUUAUCCGUAAUCUCAUUUUCUUGAGUUGCCUUGUUUGCUCGAUUUUUGGAUCGUAAGGAACUGUUCUCAAUCUUAUUGACCUUAUUGGAUUUCUCGAGAGCUUAUGGAUUCAGAACACCAACUAUCUAUUCUCGUAAUUAGCUCGGAUUUAUAGGAGCUCGGUCUUCUUUAUGUGAUUCGUAGAAGAGGGAUUUCUCAAAAGAGCUCAUGUUUAUUGAAUGAGCUCGAUAUUUAUUGGAUUUCCUCGGGCCUCGUAUUUAUCGAACUUCUUGGACUUGUUGCAGUUGAUCAUAUUUUGGAUUUCUUAUUGACGUUAUUAUCGGUAAUCUCAUUUUCUUGAGUUGCCUUGUUUGCUCGAUUUUUUGAUCGUAAGGAACUGUUCUCAUUCUUAUUGACCCUAUUGGAUUUCUCGAGAGCUUGUGGAUUCAGAACACCAACUAUCUAUUCUCGUAAGCUCGGAUUUAUAGGAGCUCGGUCUUCUUUAUGUGAUUUGUAGAAGAUGGAUUUCUCAAAAGAACUUAUGUUUAUCGAAUGAGCUCGAUAUUUAUUGGAUUUCUUGGGCCUGGUAUUUAUCAGACUUCUUGGACUUGUUGUAGUUGAUCAUAUUUUAUUGAACUUCUCUCCAGCUUCCUUGAGCAUAAGUUGGCGAUUAUGGGAGUUAACGUAAAUCACGCAAAAGAUUCAAUGCUUGUGUAUCUCUGGUUUAGAUGCCUGUGGCCUAAGUUUCAAUAUGAAUUGCAGGGUCCUUCAUUAAUUGGUAAAGUUCUUUUCUUAACGGUAUGAACCAUCUGCCCCAUCAUAGGGUUCUGACCUAUGUUAGAGUUUUUUUACUACGCUUUCAGGAUUUUAAAUACAAUGAAACUAUUUCUGCAUGACUCUCCGGUUGAUGGAAAGCAUGAGCGUUAUGGAGAAUGAGAUAUGCUAUCGUGCCAGUGAAAUCUAAGUAAUACUCUUUAUAUUUUGUACUUUUUACUCCUGAUUUUUUUCUGAAAUAUGAGGUGCUCACAGUGAUAUUUUGGCAUAUUGUAGUUUUGCAAUGAACGUUAUGUUCCAGAGGACAAAUUGGAGACUUCCAAGAUAUUAUGUGUUCUCAGGUGAAUCUAUGCAUUUUCUUAGAAAAUAAUUUGUGUUUUGAAUAAAGGUUCUGCAUUUUACUUUUUUUAUGGAGAUGUUGGUUAUAUAGGAAUAUGGAGUGGAUUUCUUAUUCCAGCAUCAAGUGUUUCGAGCUAUGAAUCCUCUGUCACAAUAUAAGUAUUACGGUUCUGACCCUUCUAAAGCUUUCCUUUUCCAAUUUUACUUUCACUUUUGCAACUUCUGACAACACUUUCUUAUUUAUGAUUUUGAUAGGUAGCAGAAGUUCUCUAUUUGUGAUGAUCGCAUCAUGCACUUGCUUCCAACAUCUUACUAAGACAUGAUUCGGCGAGUGUACUCCAAAAAGGCUGAACUUGCCUCUUAAGCAACUAUUUGCAAAUUUUUAAAUUUAUAUGGCUAUGUAGUUGCACAUACAAAUGCUGAAUUUAAAAUGCUUUUGCAGGUUGGAUUAAUUUCUUAGGCUUUUUAGAAUUUUCAGUUGCAGACUAAUGGGAUCGGAGGACCAUUACAUGAUAAUUUCUUCGUCAGAAUUAUCAUCAGAACAUUGACCACCUUUAACAGCAACCAACGUUACUUACGUCUCAAGGAAAAUGAUAUAUAUCAUUACACACUACGACAAAAGUUUACGAGACCCCUGACAGCAGACCUAGGAGACCUCCAACCGAUCGACACCAUGUCCGUUGUUUUCUAGAAAACGAGGUUUUGAUCGUCUUAUUCAUUUGAAUUGUUCAGCCAUUGAGGUUAAUAAGAUUUCCUUUACAUUUGUCUGUUUUUUCUAAAACUGUGGUAAAUAAUUCUGAAAUAAAAUUAAUUUGCAGAAUCAAGACAUCAAUAAUGAUCAUAUGACUUAUUGGCUGUCUAAUACUUCUACGUUAUUGUUCUUGCUCGAAAAAAGUCUGAAAUCUUCUGGGACAGCUGGUGCCACCCCAGUUCGUAAGGCACAACCGCAACCUCUCUAUUCGGGUGGUUGACAUUAAUAUUCAAAUUUUUUUGUUUUUUUUUUCGAUUUACAAAGUAGAUAAAUAUGAAAUAAUUUGUUUUACAAGGAUUUAGGUCACCUUCUUCGACAAGCCUAGCCAGCUGCAGGAGCUACUGAUAAGGUGCGAUAAGUCCAAGCGAAAUAUCCAGCUCUGCUUUUCAUGCAGCAGCUUAAUGCUUAUGUUGAGAAAUUAUGUGUAACUAUUCGAGAUAACUUGAAGGAUUUGGGAGCACUUCUUGCAUUACGUAUUCAGGUAUGCUGAUUGAUAAAAUAUUUAUGUUUUAUUAAAUAUUAUGUGAGCAAUGCCUUCAUGAUUUAUUAUACUUUAAUGAUUUCAGACUCCAAGAACCUCUAAAGGUAGUGUGUUGAGGUCUGGUCGAUCUUUCGGCAAACAUUCUCAUACAAAUCAUUGAUUGCCUCAAAUCAUUAGUUUAUCAGGUGACGUUAGCUGGAUUUUUUUCUUCUGAUAAGCUCUCUUUCUGUGUGUGUGCCCAUGUGCGUGAAUGUGUGUAUCUAUAUAUUCUAGUGGAGCUGUUCAGGUGACAUUAGCUGGAUUUUUUCUGAUAAGCUCUCUUUCUGUGCGUGUGCCCAUCUCUUUCUAUGUGUGUGCCCAUGUGCGUGAUUGUGUGUUUCUAUAUAUUCUGAUGGAGCUGCUUUGAUGAUUGUUGAUAAUUUGUGGAGCUGAUAAUUUGGGCAUUUAGAAACCCUCUCGUAUCUUGAUGUGGCGAACCCGGAUGGCUGCGAUUUUGGGGUAAUUUAUAUUUCCCCAAUCGCAUGCAACCGGUGAUUCUGCAACCAUGACGGGGUGGAAUGUUUCUUUGCCAACUUGAACGAUUGGGCAACAGAUCUGAGCCUCGUUUCCAUUAAUUCACUGCAUACUCGAAUUCCCAAUACUUGUGAUGAUUGUACUGUAUGUUCCCAAUACUUGUUUUUCCUUAAUAUAAUUUUAUGUUAAGAGUAUUUUUAAACUUUAUCAGAGUUGGCAACCCCCUUGAUUCUUGCCAUUGUUAUUUAUAAAUCACAAGUUCUUUUUACAAAUCAAUCCAUCUCUCUUGUUUUUUGUUGUUCCAAGAACUCGUUGGUUGUUGGCCACCUACCUAUACCUCUACUACUAUGGGUCGAGAUAAAAGCGCAAGGACUCGGUGUGAUCUGGAAACACUUCAGAUAAGUGUCUGGCAGCCUUGUUAGAUUCUUCAAGGAUUUUUGCAGAGAGCAGAAGUUCUUCUUUGUUUCUGAUGAUCGCAUCAUCCACUUGCUUCCAACAUCUUACUAAGACGUCAUUGUUUGAGUUUACGCGAGAAAGGAUGGAGUAAUUUCCGAGGCUUUUAUGAAUAUUCAGUUGAAGACUUAUGGGACAAGUUCAUGCGACAGUGAAGAGCUUCAGGUCAAGGAAGACAAAGACACGACGCUGAAAGAAAUAGAAUUUCAAAAAUGACAGCUGAGCAAAAAUCACUUAAUACAGACCUUAGUGAGCUCUCUUGAAACGAAAUUCCGCGAAAUAGAGAAGACAUAUGAAGCGAUGGACAAACUUAGCCAGGGGAGUUUGAAACAACAAGCAGUGUAGAAGAAAAAAAUCGACAUGGAAUCUGAGAACAAAAUUCUUCGGCAGCAAACCUUGUUAACUGCCUCUAAGUUAGAAUCAGAACAUCGAUUAGCAACAAAGAUAUCUCGGAAUGGUCACCAUGCAAGGGGAGUGAGUACAAUCAACGAUAUAUACCAUUACAUACUCGACAAAAGUUUACGAGGCCCUGAUAGCAAACCUAGGAGGCCCCCCAACUGAUCGUCACCGUGUCUGUGCUUCUAAAAAAUGAGAAGUUUUUCCAUAUUCCUUGUUCGAAAUUCUUGGUUUACUAGACGUAGUAAUUUCGAAUCUUACUGCAGGAGGAUGUUGAAGCUUUCUUGGAAUAUGUAAUAAAAUAUACGGGCGUCAGCCAAGUAAGCCCGUUUAAGAUUUCACAAUAUAUAAAAAUGUCUUUUGCACUGGAAAUAUUUUGAAUCUGAACGGACAAGUGCAUUUGGUCGUCUUAUUCAGAUGAUUCAUUCAGCCAUUGAGGUAAUAUUUCCUCAAUAUUGGUCUGUGUCUGGAACACGCAAAAACCACCUACUGCUUAUGCUGAGAAAAUCUAUGGCACUAUUUCAGGGGUGUUGUACUUUCAGCAAUGGGGAGUAUGUCAAAUUUGGGUUGACUGAGCUAGGACAGUGGUUCUGUCAAGCAAAAGAAAAGUAAUCAGGCUCAGCUUGGUAUGAACUCAAACACACAAGACAAGCCAAUGGCUUCUUAAUUCUUAGUGUACAGCUGCUCUACAGAAUAUGUAUACUGGGACGAUAACUAUAAUACUCAAAGUGUGUCCACUGAAUUAAGUAAAUGAUGGUCUUUGUUUCUCCUAGAAACCCAUUACUUCAUUCACAUUUUCAGUAUAAAAACAUAUGUUGCCAGAAUUUAAUAUUUCCAACUUUUAUAACAGGUCAUAUCCGACAUGAGGGUGCUAAUGACGGAGGACUCAAAAAAUGUCAGCAACUCGUUUCUUUUGGAUGACAAUUCCAGGUAACGAGCUAUUUAUUUUGCUAUGUCUACCUUUUAAAGUUCCGAAAAAAAUCUUGUUCAUAACACCUCCCAAAUAAUAAUAAAUUAAUUAAUUGACAAGAAAAGCAGAUCCUAGGUAGGACAUUAUCGUUGUUAUCCACAUCUUCCUUCACUUGACAGCAAUCUCAUGAGUCUCUUUUCACAUCUGAAACAACUUCAUUUUAAA